This 472-nucleotide ribosomal RNA is filed under the name uncultured bacterium. RNAcentral describes it as "partial 16S ribosomal RNA". It matches the Rfam family "Bacterial small subunit ribosomal RNA", at positions 28 to 507 of the family's 1533-position model. The record is from RNAcentral.
GACGAACGCUGGCGGCGUGCUUAACACAUGCAAGUCGAACGCUGAAGCUUGGUGCUUGCACUGGGUGGAUGAGUGGCGAACGGGUGAGUAAUACGUGAGUAACCUGCCCUUGACUCUGGGAUAAGCCUGGGAAACUGGGUCUAAUACUGGAUACGACAUGCCACUGCAUGGUGGUGUGUGGCAAGGGUUUUACUGGUUUUGGAUGGGCUCACGGCCUAUCAGCUUGUUGGUGGGGUAAUGGCCUACCAAGGCGACGACGGGUAGCCGGCCUGAGAGGGUGACCGGCGACAAGGGGACUGAGAGACGGACCAGACGCCAACGGGAGGCAGCAGUGGGGAACAUGGCACAGUGGGCGGAAGUCUGAGGAAGAGACGCCGGGUGAGGGAAGACGGUCUUCGGGGUGUAAAAAGCUUUCAGCAAGGAAGAAGCGGGAGUGACGGUACGUGAAGAAGAAGCGCCGGCUAACUACGUG